GAGAAGUAGCUCUGAGGACAUCAAAUAUGUUAAGUCUGCUCUGAUUUAUGGAGACUUUUUACUCCUGCAUUCAAUAACACCCAUGGCAAUUUGGGAGGACAUAAUAAAAUUUGGUAUAAACACGAAGAUUAUCUUCAGCAUUUGCAGCAGAAAUUUUGCACUUACAUUGAUCCUGUCAGCAAAAUAGUGUACAGGCAGCAGCAUGUUAUAAAACAAAGCAGCUCUUGCCAGUUAAUCAAGAUUCUCCAGCUUCUCCUUGUGCCUGGACCUCUGCAGCCUUGCCCAGACAUCCUUGCCUAGGUCCAUCUGGAACUGUAAGUUCCUCUAUGGUUCCAAAUAG
Molecule: long non-coding RNA, 340 nt
Filed under: Bos indicus x Bos taurus (hybrid cattle)
Lineage: Eukaryota; Metazoa; Chordata; Mammalia; Artiodactyla; Bovidae
Description: lncRNA (ENSBIXG00000016054.1)
Source: RNAcentral